Parambassis ranga (Indian glassy fish) is the source of this 2675-nucleotide long non-coding RNA. Lineage: Eukaryota; Metazoa; Chordata; Actinopteri; Ambassidae. The record is from Ensembl.
UGUGUGGACUCAAAACUACAACUGUCUGUUUUUGUCUGUUUAAUUUUCAGAGCAGGAAGUGGAUGAGGAGAGUUUCCUUUUGCUGGAUGAUGCUGCCAUGCAGCAUCUUAUUCCAAAAAUUGGUCAACGUCUCAAAUUUCAAAAACAUCACAAGGAGCUUGUGAGUAAAGUGCUUUUGUUUUUGUAAGUUUGGUAAAGAUUAAAGGUAAGUUCUCUAAUGUCAUUCACAUGCUUUCGCUGCAGACAGGCAAUCCCUGGUCAUGCAAAAGGACUGUUUGUUCAUUUAAGGGCAGUUCAUGGUGUUAAUACCGCUUCGUCCUUUUUUCAAUGCUGCGAAGAUGGCUGCAGACGGACAUUCAGAUAUAUUCGGUCAUUCAGACGACAUCUUCUUCAACAUUCUGUCCAAGAAAGUGCCCAAAGUACUGGACAGCAUUUAAUUGGUACCACAACAAUGUCUGUACAGUGUUUCUCAGGUCCCAUUGAUAGAGAGUUAGCAAAUGCAGACACAUCUGAGGCUCCUACACAACAGGGCAGAAACGAAGAUGAUUUCUGGGACGAGUUGCAGCCAGAGACUGUAACACAGCGGGUAGCUCUGUUUUUAGCAGCUCUUAAGGCCAAGGCAGCACAGACAUAUAGUACAGUCAAUUUUGUUGUUGCACAGACAUCCUGCUUGAUUUCAGACAUUGUGGGUUCACUUCAGAGAAAGUCUUUGUCUCUCUUUGCGAAAUUCGGCCAUCGGGAUGACCCAGAGGUGCAAGAACUUGCCCGUGAUUUUGAUAAGGCAGUGUGCCCCUUUAAAGGUUUGGAUUCAGACUUCAAACAAAUGCAGUAUUUUGCAAAGUCAGGAUACUUUAUCCAGCCUGUAGAGCAGGCUCUGCCUGGAGUCUCAUAUGUGCAGAGAAGGGACUCUGCUACUGGGACACUUAGACAGGUUGCUGUUCAGGAUGUGUUUUUUCGUGUCCCACUGAAAACUCUGCUAACUCAACUGCUUGAGAUCCCUGGCAUUUUGGAGGCCAUCUUCACCUGGCAGAAAAGAGAAAAUGGAGUACUCAUAGACUUCUAUGAUGGGAAGUAUUGCAAGCAGCAUUGUCUCUUUUCCAGCAAUGUGUCUGUUCCACUUCUUUUGUACAACGAUGACUGUGAAAUAGUUAACCCACUAGGCUCAAAGGUUGUGGUACACAAGUUGGGGUUCCUUUACUUCACUAUCAAGAGUCUGCCUCCAGAGUUUCUAUCAAAACUCUCAUCACACUUUCUCAUAGCAGUUUACAGAACAGAUGAUGCAAAAACCUAUGGGAUUGAUAGUGUUCUACAGUCAAUUGUAGAGGAGCUGAAAGAUCUUGAGAUCACUGGCAUCUCCCUCAACACACCUCUUUUCAAGGGUGAAAUGAGGUUUUCUGUUGCACAGGUGUGUGGGGACAAUCUUGGCCUAAAUGCCAUUCUAGGUUUUACUGAGAGCUUCUCAAGUAAUUUCUUCUGUCGCAUGUGCAAGGCACACAAGAACAUCACAAGGACACAGACAAAAGAGGAUCUUGCCAUGAUAAGAAAUGAAACAAACCAUGCUGAAGAUGUUUGUCAUGGUAAUGUGUCUGAGACUGGUGUUAAAAGAGACAGCAUCCUAAACAGUCUGUCCUACUUUCAUGUCACAGACAACAAAGUUGCAGACAUAAUGCAUGGCUUGUUGGAAGGGGUGGGGCCAUAUGAGUUGAAGCUGGUAAUCUCUUCACUGAUUGAGGACAAACACUUGACCCUUGAAAAACUCAACUUCCGGAUCACAAGUUUUGAUUAUGGCUUUCCUGAUCUGAAGAAUAAGCCAUCCUUGAUUGGGAAGAAUGAACUUAAAAAUCCCGAAGGAGCAAUGCAUCAGUCUGCAGCGCAAACAUGGUGUCUCCUCAGAUGGUUGCCAUGUAUGAUUGGGGACCUCAUUCCUGAAGAAAACAAGCACUGGGAGCUCUUGCUUCUCCUUCUGGAAUGUAUGGAGUUGAUUUUCUCUUCUUCCAUUACACCAGAGGCUGUAGUUUACUUGGCUGCACUGAUUGAUGAGCAUCACUCUCUGUUCCUUGAGCUGUACCCCAGAUUGCAUCUUCGCCCGAAGCACCACCUCAUGGUGCACUAUCCAAAUGCAAUCCUACACUUGGGACCACUUGUUCAGUUCUGGUCGAUGCGAUUUGAAGCCAAACAUGGUUUCUUUAAACGCAUCAGCCAUGUCACCUGUAACUUUAAGAAUAUUUGUAAGACUAUGGCAUUUCGGCAUCAGAUGAUGCUAUGCUACUCACUCCUCUCUGGUUCUGUGUUUAAAAAUGAAACAGAGGUUGGUCCAGGCCAGAGUGUUUUGCUUGCCGUAAUGGAUGGCUUUUGUGAUGUACAAAAUGGUCUUGAGGAUAUUCCACCCUUUACAGAGAUCUUUGUGCCAGCUUGGGUAAAAGUAAAUGGUACACACUACAAACCUGGAACCACAGUAUUUCUGUCUUACACUGCUGAUGGCGAGCCCCAGUUUGGUAGAGUGAAAAGCCUUCUCAUGUUGGGUGACAGAGUGAAGCUUGUCAUCCAAAAAUGGGAUACAGUAGGAUUUGAGAAGCAUUUCUUUGCCUACGGUGUAACAGCAACCACUGAUGUGUUUGCUGUUGAUCAAGGUUCCCUCCUUGACUAUCACACUCUCCAUGCAGUGAAGUCCUUCA